GGGUCUGACCGGUCCGGUGGUA
This 22-nucleotide non-coding RNA is filed under the name Arabidopsis thaliana (thale cress). The record is from RNAcentral. Lineage: Eukaryota; Viridiplantae; Streptophyta; Magnoliopsida; Brassicales; Brassicaceae.